UGGUGCUCUAAUCAUAAUGACACAUUUGCAUACUUCUCGCUGUGAUAAGAGUGUGAAAGUGAGGAGCAUUGUGGAGGUGGAGGUGUGGAGCAUUGUGGAGGUGGAGGUGUGGAGCAAUGUGAAGGUGGAGGUGGUGAUAUGGAGCAAUGAGGAGAUGGAUGUGUGGAGCAAUGUGGAGGUGGAGGUGGUGAUAUAGAGAAAUGUGUUGGUGGAGGUGUGGAGCAAUGUGGAGGUGGAGGUGGAGGUGGUGAUAUAGAGAAAUGUGGACGUGGAGGUGUGGAGCAAUGUGGAGGUGGAGAUGUGGAGCAAUGUAGUUGUGGAGGUAUGGGGCAAUGUGGAGGUGGAGAUGUGGAGCAAUGUAGAGGUGGAGGUGUGGGGCAAUGUGGAGGUGUGGAGCAAUGUAGAAGUGGAGGUGGAGAUGUGGAGAAAUGUGGAGGGGGGCUAAAUGCAGAUAAGCUGACACUGACCGCUGAGAAGGAACAUGAUAGAAUGCUUGCCAUAAACUCCUCAUGAAAACGAAGGACAAGCUCUUAGCAACUGGGCAAG
Ictalurus punctatus (channel catfish) is the source of this 546-nucleotide long non-coding RNA. The record is from Ensembl. NCBI's taxonomy places the organism in Eukaryota, Metazoa, Chordata, Actinopteri, Siluriformes, Ictaluridae.